RNAcentral lists this ribosomal RNA (253 nucleotides) under uncultured bacterium. RNAcentral describes it as "partial 16S ribosomal RNA". It matches the Rfam family "Bacterial small subunit ribosomal RNA", at positions 524 to 776 of the family's 1533-position model. The record is from RNAcentral.
UACGUAGGUGGCAAGCGUUGUCCGGAUUUAUUGGGUUUAAAGGGUGCGUAGGCGGUCCUAUAAGUCAGUGCUGAAAUAUCCCGGCUUAACCGGGAGGGUGGCAUUGAUACUGCAGGACUUGAGUGAAGUCGAGGUAGGCGGAAUUGACGGUGUAGCGGUGAAAUGCUUAGAUAUCGUCAAGAACACCGAUAGUGAAGACAGCUUACUAGACUUCAACUGACGCUGAGGCACGAAAGUGUGGGGAUCAAACAGG